Molecule: ribosomal RNA, 253 nt
Filed under: uncultured bacterium
Lineage: Bacteria
Description: partial 16S ribosomal RNA
Rfam family: Bacterial small subunit ribosomal RNA
Source: RNAcentral
UACGAACUGUGCAAGCGUUAUUCGGAAUCACUGGGCUUAAAGGGUGCGUAGGCGGUUAUCUAAGUUGGGUGUGAAAGCCCCCGGCUCAACCGGGGAAUUGCGUUCUGAAUUGGAUGGCUGGAGUGGGAUAGGGGUGUGUGGAACUUCCGGUGGAGCGGUGAAAUGUGUUGAUAUCGGGAGGAACGCCGGUGGCGAAAGCGACACACUGGGUCUCAACUGACGCUGAGGCACGAAAGCCAGGGGAGCGAACGGG